This 107-nucleotide small RNA is filed under the name Marmota monax (woodchuck). Lineage: Eukaryota; Metazoa; Chordata; Mammalia; Rodentia; Sciuridae. The record is from RNAcentral.
GCCAGGCACAGUGGUGCGCACCUGUAAUCCCAGCUGCUCAGGAGGCUGAGGCAGGAGGAUCACAAGUUCAAAGCCAAACUGGGAAAUUUAGUGAGACCCUGUCUCUA